This 509-nucleotide ribosomal RNA is filed under the name Sinotmethis brachypterus. RNAcentral describes it as "partial 16S ribosomal RNA". It matches the Rfam family "Bacterial large subunit ribosomal RNA", at positions 1842 to 2615 of the family's 2925-position model. Lineage: Eukaryota; Metazoa; Arthropoda; Insecta; Orthoptera; Pamphagidae. The record is from RNAcentral.
UAAAUUAGGUCUGGCUGCUCACUGACUUGUUUUGAAGAGCCGCGGUAUUUUGACCGUGCAAAGGUAGCAUAAUCAUUAGUCUCUUAAUUAGAGGCUGGAAUGAAUGGUUUGACGAGGAAUUGACUGUCUCUAUUUAAUAUCUAGAAUUUAACUUUUGAGUUAAAAGGCUUAAAUUUUUCUUUAGGACGAGAAGACCCUAUAGAGCUUAAUAUAUAAUUUUUAUAUGGUUUUUAGUUUGUUUUCCUAUAUUUAAUUUAAUAUAUUUUGUUGGGGUGACAUGAAGGAUAAUUAAACCCUUCAUUAUUAAAUCAUUGAUUUAUGUUAUUUUGAUCCAUAAUUUAUGAUCAUAAGAUUAAGUUACCUUAGGGAUAACAGCGUAAUUGUUUUAGAGAGCUCAAAUCGACAAAGCAGAUUGCGACCUCGAUGUUGGAUUAAGAAAAAUGCUAGGUGCAGUGGCUUAGUGAUUAGGUCUGUUCGACCUUUAAAUUCUUACGUGAUCUGAGUUCAGA